GGCCGGUUAGCUCAGUUGGUUAGAGCGCCGUGCUCAUAACACGGGGGCUGCUGGUUCAAUCCCCGCAUGGGCCA
Rhinolophus ferrumequinum (greater horseshoe bat) is the source of this 74-nucleotide non-coding RNA. The record is from the annotation of a RefSeq genome assembly. NCBI's taxonomy places the organism in Eukaryota, Metazoa, Chordata, Mammalia, Chiroptera, Rhinolophidae.